RNAcentral lists this long non-coding RNA (1782 nucleotides) under Monodelphis domestica (gray short-tailed opossum). Its description in RNAcentral is "lncRNA (ENSMODG00000050087.1)". Lineage: Eukaryota; Metazoa; Chordata; Mammalia; Didelphimorphia; Didelphidae. The record is from RNAcentral.
CACAAACAAAAUUACAUCAGACAGAGUUCAGGCCUCGGAGAAUUUUCAUGAGUACCUAUUAGCAGCUGAGUAUUCCUCUGGUUGAAUACUUGCCUGUUUUCCACCCAAAGCUUCAGGCAUCCUUACUUAGUAUUUUCAUGGGAUUACUGGGAUAGUGUGCUACUGAACUCCCUGAGAGCUUUGGCAAUGCCUUGUUGGAGAUGAGAUCAAUUAUCAGUGUCUAUUCAUGCUUGUGAAAAAUGGACAUUUGUAACUGCAAAAGCUUCUCAUUCCUCGGAAACUGCAUGCCCUCUAUCUCUCUAAGUAGCAAAAUCACAGAUUUUUAUUUGUUAUCAACUCUAAAACUAGGUCAUCUGAGUCAGUGGUUUAAUAACUGGUCACGAUAAGGACAUAGUGGUUUCCCCUCUUAAAUCAUUGGUUCAAAUCAGUACUCAGACGAUCAUUGUUGCUUACCUUUCUUGCCAUCUGGUUCAUUGGCUGUUAUCAGCUGAAAGGAACUGGUCCAGGACCCAGAGAAGAAGUGCUCCUAUCAAUAGAAAGUUCCAUCACGAUGGGGAUUUGUCCUGGGCACUUGACAAAGGCACAAGAAACCCAUAAAAUGAACGGCAGGUACUGAUGCAGAAGCUUCCACCCAGGAUCCAGGUUGCUUUCGGAAAAGAGAAAGGAGGGGUGGUAGAGGGGGAUGGCAUUCCCAGAUCUCCGCGAGGAAUUCUUCCUUGAGAUUCGUCAGUUUCCCCCAGAGACUUCCCCACAUGAAUGGGGCAUGGAGCUCGAUUUCUAUUGAACUACGUUACCCUGGAUUCUACAAAACUGGGAUUGUUGAACAUUGUGGGACAUUCGUGUCAGGCGUCACAGUCUGAAGAGAUCAGGGGCCGCACCAGGAGUGUGUUACGGCCCGCGCCUUUUUUGUUGUUGUUGGCUUGGCCAUUGCUUGCCGCCCAGUAUCGAAUUCUAUUGAAGACACGCCUAAAGUUCUUUCUCUGGAAGUGGAGAGCAUCCUUUGUCAUAAGUCCCUCAGAAAAGUCUUGGAUCACUAUAUUGAGACAUCCAAGUCCAAGGGCAAGACAAAAGUCAGGAUGACUGGAGAUGGUCCCAGAUGCAGUGAAUGACCUUGGCUUCUUUGAAUAUCCCAUGUCUAAGAGUUCUACAGUGACUGCUUCCACCAUCUUCAUGGCCACUGGAACAAAUUAUUCUCACCCACCCUUUCUGCCAGAGGAAAUCUUCCCAUGCUUGAAGUAGACUAACCCACCAAUGAGUUUGAGGCCAAUCACUUACCUUCAACCUAGCUUGAUCUGUCUGUGGAGAAAGUUUUACUGCAUUCUGGAUCAUGGACAUACCAUAGCUUCUUGGAGCCACAGGUGAAAGUUGAGUAAAAGGUGGACACCAAAGUUGGGUGAGCAGCUCUGAAAAGGCUCAGUAAGUUCUCAUACCAUUGGUGCUAAUCCUCUCUAAAUAUUCCAUACAUACCCAGUGUCAGCUUAGGUCCCUCAGACAAUAGUGGAUAAGAAAGUGAGCCUGGACAUAUCUGGUAUGCUAGUAUAGAUUGAGACUAUUCCAGCCUUUCCAAAGAAUUAACAGAAUAUUAUGGAUGUGAACUGAGGAUCAAUACCUAGACUAUUUGGCAAUCCUUGUGUCUUGUUCAGAUAAUUAAGAAAAAAGUCAAUUGAUAGAAAGGAACAUUAAAGAACAUUAAAUACUCCAUCUUUAGAGAGAGAAUCCAGAGAUAUUUAGCCUCUUGAUUCCUUAGUGCCUGAAGAAUGGAAUUCUUCAAUUCAAUUUGAG